GGUGAGCGCUGGCGCGAGGCCGCGGGAAUAGGGAGGUGUGGAGCGUUAUCCGGAAUAAUUGGGCGUAAGGCGCGCGCAGGCGGUUUCUGAAGUCUGAUGUGAAAGCCCACGGCUCAACCGUGGAGGGUCAUUGGAAACUGGGAAACUUGAGUGCAGAAGAGGAAAGCGGAAUUCCACGUGUAGCGGUGAAAUGCGUAGAGAUGUGGAGGAACACCAGUGGCGAAGGCGGCUUUCUGGUCUGUAACUGACGCUGAGGCGCGAAAGCGUGGGGAGCAAACAGGAUUAGAUACCCUAGUAGUC
This 300-nucleotide ribosomal RNA is filed under the name uncultured Desulfobacter sp. RNAcentral describes it as "bacterial SSU rRNA". It matches the Rfam family "Bacterial small subunit ribosomal RNA", at positions 495 to 795 of the family's 1533-position model. The record is from RNAcentral. Lineage: Bacteria; Pseudomonadati; Thermodesulfobacteriota; Desulfobacteria; Desulfobacterales; Desulfobacteraceae.